RNAcentral lists this ribosomal RNA (502 nucleotides) under Vermamoeba vermiformis. Its description in RNAcentral is "SSU rRNA". It matches the Rfam family "Eukaryotic small subunit ribosomal RNA", at positions 1215 to 1719 of the family's 1831-position model. The record is from RNAcentral. Lineage: Eukaryota; Tubulinea; Echinamoebida; Vermamoebidae.
UUACGAGGUCAGGACACUGUGAGGAUUGACAGAUUGAAAGCUCUUUCUUGAUUCAGUGGGUGGUGGUGCAUGGCCGUUCUUAGUUGGUGGAGUGAUUUGUCUGGUUAAUUCCGUUAACGAACGAGACCUUAACCUGCUAAAUAGUCACGCGAACCGGUCCGCAAGGGCUCAAAGUUCGCGGCUCGACUUCUUAGAGGGACUAUUCGCACCCGCCAGCGAAUGGAAGUUUGAGGCAAUAACAGGUCUGUGAUGCCUUUAGAUGUUCUCGGCCGCACGCGCGUUACACUGACGGAGUCAACGAGCGUUUUUCCUUGCCCGACAGGGCUGGGUAACCUCCUGAAACUCCGUCGUGAUGGGGAUAGAUCAUUGCAAUUAUUGAUCUUGAACGAGGAAUUCCUAGUAAGCGCGAGUCAUCAACUCGCGCUGAUUACGUCCCUGCCCUUUGUACACACCGCCCGUCGCUCCUACCGAUUGAACGGUCCGGCGAGAACUCCGGAUGGUC